GGAGCGCGGUCGUGCGCGCGCAUAGUACUGAUGGACGGUGAGUAAAUGUGGGAAUCUGCCUUUUGGUUUGGAAUAACACGGGGAAACUUGUGCUAAUACCAAAUAACCUUUACGGGAAAGUUUUAAUGCCGAAAGAUGAGCCUGACUUGAUUAGCUAGUUGGUAAGGUAAAAGCUUACCAAGGCAACAUCAAAGCUGUUCUUAGAGGAAGACCCCUUGGGACUGAGACACGGCCCAACUCUACGGGAGGCAGCAGGGGGAAUCUUGCACAAGGGGAAACCCUGAUGCAGCGAUCCGCGUGAGUGAAAAGGCUGGGUUGAAAUCUUUCGUCGGGAAAAAAUGACUGUACCCGAAUAAAAGGUCCGGUAACUUCGGCCAGCAGCCGCGGUAAUACGAAGGGACCUAGCGUAUUCGGAAUUACUGGGCUUAAAGAGCUCGUAGGUGGUAAAAAAGUUGAUGGUGAAAUCCCAAGGCUCAACCUUGGAACUGCCAUCAAAAUUUUUAGCUAGAGUGUGAUAGAGGUAAGUGGAAUUUCUAGUGUAGAGGUGAAAUUCGUAGAUAUUAGAAAGAACACCAAUGCGAAGGCAACUUACUGGGUCACUACUGACACUGAGGAGCGAAAGCAUGGGUAGCGAAGAGGAUUAGAUACCCUCGUAGUCCAUGCCGUAAACGAUGUGUGCUAGACGUUGGAAAUAUAUUUUUCGUGUCCAGCGAAAGCAUUAGCACACCGCCUGGGAGUACGACCGCAAGGUUAAAACUCAAUGAAUUGACGGGACCCGCACAAGCAGUGGAGAUGUGGUUUAAUUCAAGAUACGCGCAGAACCUUACCAACAUUGACAUGUUCGUCGCGAAACUAAGAGAUUAGUUUUUUCAGUCGGCUGGACGAACACAGUGCUGCAUGGCUGUCGUCAGCUCGUGUCGUGAGAUGUUGUAAGUCCCGCAACGAGCGCAACCCCUACUUUUAGUGCCACCUUUAGUACUUAGAACUCUAUAGCUGGAGAGGGGAGACGCAGUCUUGUAUUGGACCCACAGCUUAGCAAA
This 1040-nucleotide ribosomal RNA is filed under the name uncultured marine alpha proteobacterium. RNAcentral describes it as "bacterial SSU rRNA". It matches the Rfam family "Bacterial small subunit ribosomal RNA", at positions 71 to 1132 of the family's 1533-position model. Lineage: Bacteria; Pseudomonadati; Pseudomonadota; Alphaproteobacteria. The record is from RNAcentral.